CCGCCGCCGCCGUAGACCCCGGCGAGGGCACCAGUGGGCCGCCGGUGAUCGCCGUUUCGAGGAGAGCUGACCCGUCAUCGGGACUCGGCACCGCUCCGCUCAUUGAGGGGACCAGCGGCCUGCCGCUGCCGCCACCGGCGAUCUUUGGAGAUGCUGGCCCGUCAUCGGGUUCCAGCACCUCUGCCGACGCAUGCGUCUCGGCCGUCGCCGCCGUAGACCCCGGCGAGGGCACCAGUGGGCCGCCGGUGAUCGCCGUUUCGAGGAGAGCUGACCCGUCAUCGGGACUCGGCACCGCUCCGCCCAUUGAGGGGACCAGCGGCCUGCCGCCGCCGCCACCGGCGAUCUUUGGAGAUGCUGGCCCGUCA
Amphibalanus amphitrite is the source of this 365-nucleotide long non-coding RNA. RefSeq lists it as uncharacterized. The record is from RefSeq and is a predicted model, not a curated record. The transcript has 4 exons. NCBI's taxonomy places the organism in Eukaryota, Metazoa, Arthropoda, Thecostraca, Balanomorpha, Balanidae.